CCUACGGGAGGCAGCAGUGAGGAAUAUUGGUCAAUGGACGAGAGUCUGAACCAGCCAAGCCGCGUGAAGGAUGACUGCCCUAUGUGUUGUAAACUUCUUUUAUAAAGGAAUAAAACGUGGCACGUGUGCCUUUUUGCAUGUACUUUAUGAAUAAGGAUCGGCUCACUCCGUGCCAGCAGCCGCGGUAAUACGGAGGAUCCGAGCGUUAUCCGGAUUUAUUGGGUUUAAAGGGAGCGUAGAUGGGUUGUUAAGUCAGGUGUGAAAGGUUGCGGCUCAACCGUAAAAUUGCAAUUGAUACUGGCAGUCUUGAGUACAGUAGAGGUAGGCGGAAUUCGUGGUGUAGCGGUGAAAUGCUUAGAUAUCACGAAGAACCCCGAUUGCGAAGGCAGCUUACUGAACUGUGACUGACAUUGAGGCUCGAAAGUGUGGGUAUCAAACAGGAUUAGAUACCCCUGUAGUC
This 460-nucleotide ribosomal RNA is filed under the name uncultured bacterium. RNAcentral's name for it is "partial 16S ribosomal RNA". It matches the Rfam family "Bacterial small subunit ribosomal RNA", at positions 338 to 795 of the family's 1533-position model. The record is from RNAcentral.